This 267-nucleotide ribosomal RNA is filed under the name Macrotermes subhyalinus (Mendi termite). RNAcentral's name for it is "partial large subunit ribosomal RNA". Lineage: Eukaryota; Metazoa; Arthropoda; Insecta; Blattodea; Termitidae. The record is from RNAcentral.
GGCUUGACGAGGCAUGGUCUGUCUUGGAUGGUGAUUUGUUUAAUUGAAUUUGGUUUUUGAGUUAAAAUUCUUAAAUGUUUUUAUGGGACGAGAAGACCCUAUAGAGUUUACAUUCGGUGUUUAGCUUGUUUGGUUUGUUUUUAUUGAUGCUUUGUUUCGUUUGUUUUGUUGGGGUGAUGGGAGGAAUUUUCUUAACUCCUCUUUAUUUUUGGAUAUUUAUUUGUAUAUGUUUUGAUCCAUUUAUUUUGAUUAUAAGAUUAAAUUACC